UUUGGGUUCGAACGCUGGCCUCAGGUUGAUAGAAAUAUCGCCUGGGGCUUUUGUCC
Molecule: non-coding RNA, 56 nt
Filed under: Escherichia coli
Lineage: Bacteria; Pseudomonadati; Pseudomonadota; Gammaproteobacteria; Enterobacterales; Enterobacteriaceae
Also listed under: 5 other names
Source: RNAcentral